GACGAACGCUGGCGGCGUGCCUAAUACAUGCAAGUAGAACGCACAGUUUAUACCGUAGCUUGCUACACCAUAGACUGUGAGUUGCGAACGGGUGAGUAACGCGUAGGUAACCUGCCUGGUAGCGGGGGAUAACUAUUGGAAACGAUAGCUAAUACCGCAUAAUAUUGAUUAUUGCAUGAUAAUUGAUUGAAAGAUGCUAUUGCAUCACUACCAGAUGGACCUGCGUUGUAUUAGCUAGUAGGGGAGGUAACGGCUCACCUAGGCGACGAUACAUAGCCGACCUGGGAGGGUGAUCGGCCACACUGGGACUGAGACACGGCCCAGACUCCUACGGGAGGCAGCAGUAGGGAAUCUUCGGCAAUAGACGAAAGUCUGACCGAGCAACGCCGCGUGAGUGAAGAAGGUUUUCGGAUCGUAAAGCUCUGUUGUAAGAGAAGAACGGGUGUGAGAGUGGAAAGUUCACACUGUGACGGUAUCUUACCAGAAAGGGACGGCUAACUACGUG
Molecule: ribosomal RNA, 505 nt
Filed under: uncultured bacterium
Lineage: Bacteria
Description: partial 16S ribosomal RNA
Rfam family: Bacterial small subunit ribosomal RNA
Source: RNAcentral